RNAcentral lists this non-coding RNA (30 nucleotides) under Mus musculus (house mouse). The record is from RNAcentral. Lineage: Eukaryota; Metazoa; Chordata; Mammalia; Rodentia; Muridae.
UGGCCUGAUUUUCGAGAUUUCUGAUUUCUA